Molecule: small RNA, 81 nt
Filed under: Halpernia frigidisoli
Lineage: Bacteria; Pseudomonadati; Bacteroidota; Flavobacteriia; Flavobacteriales; Weeksellaceae
Description: Flavo-1 RNA
Rfam family: Flavo-1 RNA
Source: Rfam by way of RNAcentral
ACCUAGCCCGGAUGGCAGCGGCAUCCUUUUUAUCCCGAUGACAAUCGGGAGAAAAAGAUAUAGCGAACAGCCGGCAGAGUU